RNAcentral lists this ribosomal RNA (372 nucleotides) under uncultured Porphyrobacter sp. RNAcentral's name for it is "bacterial SSU rRNA". It matches the Rfam family "Bacterial small subunit ribosomal RNA", at positions 1008 to 1382 of the family's 1533-position model. The record is from RNAcentral. Lineage: Bacteria; Pseudomonadati; Pseudomonadota; Alphaproteobacteria; Sphingomonadales; Erythrobacteraceae.
AGAUUUCUUCCCUUCGGGACCUAGUGACAGGUGCUGCAUGGCUGUCGUCAGCUCGUGUCGUGAGGAUGUUGGGUUAAGUCCCGCAACGAGCGCAACCCUCGUCCUUAGUUGCCAUCAUUAAGUUGGGCACUUUAGGAAACUGCCGGUGAUAAGCCGGAGGAAGGUGGGGAUGACGUCAAGUCCUCAUGGCCCUUACAGGCUGGGCUACACACGUGCUACAAUGGCAUCUACAGUGGGCAGCUAUUCCGCAAGGAUGCGCUAAUCUCCAAAAGAUGUCUCAGUUCGGAUUGUCCUCUGCAACUCGAGGGCAUGAAGGCGGAAUCGCUAGUAAUCGCGGAUCAGCAUGCCGCGGUGAAUACGUUCCCAGGCCUU